CUCUCUGCCCCCGCCUCCCCUCUCUUUUCUCCCCCGCAUCUUUUUCCUCAUCCGGCAAAGAACGGAAGCACUCGAUGGAGAGGAUCGUCCAUCCUCGCGCCUGUCUCUGUUGUCCCCUCUUCCUCCAUCUCCCUGCGUCAGCCAACCCUCCCCUGUCCCUGUUCAUCAUGCCACCGGCCGGCAGGAGAGAAAAGCAGCAGAGCAGAUCGCCUCCCGAUUCCUCCUCCUCCUCCUUCAAAUACCAGUUCCAUUUCUUGCUUUCUUCCAACCAAAACCUCUCCUCUCCUCUCCUCCGCCUGAGCAGAGCCAUGACCUUCUUCGUGUACUCCAAGGGAUCCAAGGUCGGUCUGGGCUACGAGGCGGAGUCCGCCGGCGAGAUGGCGGCGAUGGCGGUGGGAGCCGUCGCCGUCCUCCGCUACCUCGACGGCGGGGCCCGCCAGCAGGACGCCUCCAACGAGGGGGCAAACGCCUGGUGGAGGAUGCUCGCCGCGGCCGUCGCCGGCUCGCGGCACGCCAACAUCGUCAUCGUCGUUUGUUUUUCAGUUUCGUUCGUUGAGUAGUAGUAGCAGGAGCAGCAGAAAGAAAGAAGAGAGAAUGUAUCCGAUGAGGAGAGGAGUACUAGUGCUGUAUUACGGUGUAUUUGUUUCUCUAGUCCUAGGAUUUGUUUCUCUAGCUCUAGGACUUUUUCUAGUCCCUGAGACUUUUUGAAAAAGACUUUUAAGGAGGUGCUUUUAAGGACUUUUAGCAAAAAGUUUCAAAAAAGUUCCACCCUGUUUGGUUUGCUAGGGACUUUUUCUAGUUUCUACACCAAAAAGUCCCUGGAAAUAAACACCCCCUACAUAUGACUAUAAGGAAUAAAUGGAUGAUGAUUUGGGUGCCUGCCUCUCUUGUCGUUUCUUUUGGUCUCUCUCUCUCUUCUUCACGCGGCGGCCGAGUUUUUCAGGCGACAACGUUUGCCGCCGGCCAACUCCGAUCCUCUUCGCCGACUCAUUCAUCCACCCUCCAACGUCCGUCCAUGCUCACCCUGCCCGUCCAACGGCCGAAACCCUAACCAACCUUCCUCCCCCCUACACGAUGCGUACGAUCCCAAGUUUCUGCCUGUAGAAAUCGCUGUUUCUGAAUGUUUUAAUUUUCAUGUACCCAGUAAUAUGUGUGAUCUUGCUGCCUUAUGGUGUGUUGCCACCGCUUGAUGCCUAUGGACAAUGCGUAAUGAUCUCUGUUUCCAGGGUGUGGUGUGGACAAGUACUCGGGUUAUCCUGGGCAGGGUAUGUGCGCUGAUUCACCAAUGGAAGAUAUUCUGUGCGGACGCUCAAUCUGCUCUACUUCAGCGCUGUCUCCUGCCGCUGGACCGGCGAAGAGGAGAGCUGCUACGAAUCGCCUGGAGAUGAAGACGUGGGCUGGAGCAGGGAACGGUCCAGGUGGCUUUCCGCACAGAGCUCAUUCCGGCUCAAGGCCUAAAAAAUUAAUGUAUUAUUAAACUUUAUUAUUGUGGCACUAGUGUACAAGUGAACGAAUGCCUGCUUCAGUGGUAUUUUAGCAUGGAAGUUCGUGGCAAUGGACAAGAACCUGAGUCGGAAAUUGUCCAGGCCUGUACAAGUGAGGCAUGACUUAACUGAAGCGCUGAAGAAGCUUCAGUGCCAGACGCUGAGUUUUGUGGGAGAGAACUCACGGUUCCAUGCCGGCGCUGUCCUCAGAACCACAGAACUAGAUUGGAGAUGCUUUGCUCUAGUCGAGCAGGUUCAGGGCGAAGGAGCAGGGGGCUCCUUUCAGUUUACACAAAGCACAGCUACUGCUACAGGCCGAUGACACCUGUUUCAAGCAUUUUGCCAUUCUGUUUUGUGCAGGGACAACCAGUCCAGCUUCCCGAGAUCCCCCCUUCUCUUCCACGUACGCAAUCCCUCCGGCACAAACGAGCUCUUAGCCAAAAAAAAGGGCCAGGGUAGAUUGGGACUAUAAGAAACAGUGUGCCAAUUUCAGGGAUUUCAAGAUCAAGGUUCAGUGCAGACUCCAAGUGUGAAUUUAAGGUUUACUUUAGACUUUUCUCUCAGGAAAAUCAUACUAGGUCUAUCUGUUCUGUUGUUGUAACAUUCAGAAGAAAAGUUUGGUGCUGAGCUCAGUCUAAAAGGAGACUAAACCAAUAGAAACAAGGCUUUGUGUAAUACAUAUACUUGCGCCGAGUAUUAAACAACAU
Long non-coding RNA from Triticum aestivum (bread wheat), 2191 nucleotides. RefSeq lists it as uncharacterized. The transcript has 5 exons. Lineage: Eukaryota; Viridiplantae; Streptophyta; Magnoliopsida; Poales; Poaceae. The record is from RefSeq and is a predicted model, not a curated record.